UUCUGCGACCUACACCACAGCUCACGGCAAUGCUGGAUCCCCGACCCACACUGGGGGUCAUGGAACAGGAAGCUCUACCACACUCUGGUUCAUGAGGAACUUUGAAAUGUUUGCUGAAAAUGGCAAUGAGGAACAAAGUUUUUCAGAAACAUUCUAAGCUCAUCCAGUGUGAGCUACCAUUAUACUACAGUUGAACUGACGCUGCAGUUCUAGGAGAUGGUGUGUUAGAGUCACAAACACAUCUCAGAGGCGAGACCCCCUCCCAGCCAUCAGUCUUACCUAGCCUACGAUCCUGGCAGGAAGAAGGCGUCGGAUGACUAUUUUGCUAAGUCAAAAGAGACUGUGAGGGGAGAAGGAAGAGAUGCUCACAUCUCCAACAGGGACUCCUCUAGGGGAGAAACUAAACCAGUGGAAAAAGUCACAGAGGCAGGAGGAAUCAUUCCUGAGAAAUGAACUGCGUUUGUGGAGAUAAACGACAGGCCCUAAACACCACCCUAAACCCUGACCGCUGUUAAUAUAGUUUAAUGUAAUCCUCACUGAUAGUGGUGGUCUGUGUAGCAUUUAAUCUGAUAUUAAAGUUAUUCCAGGAA
This is a non-coding RNA of Sus scrofa (pig), 590 nucleotides long. The record is from RefSeq and is a predicted model, not a curated record. NCBI's taxonomy places the organism in Eukaryota, Metazoa, Chordata, Mammalia, Artiodactyla, Suidae.